RNAcentral lists this non-coding RNA (46 nucleotides) under Schistosoma mansoni. Lineage: Eukaryota; Metazoa; Platyhelminthes; Trematoda; Strigeidida; Schistosomatidae. The record is from RNAcentral.
UCACUGCUGAAGUGUCCCACAAUAGGACGAAAUGGUCAUCCAGUAC